AACGCACCUUGCGCUCCUCGGUAUUCCGAGGAGCAUGCCUGUUUGAGUGUCAUUUAAUUCUCAACCAUGUCCUUGUAACGAGGCUUGGCUUGGACUUGGGGGUUGCUGGUGGCAAUGGCCGUCGGCUCUCCUGAAAUGCAUUAGCAAAGGGCAGCAAGUCUGUGGCGUGGCACGGCCUUUUCGACGUGAUAAUGAUCGUCGUGGGCUGGAAGCGUCGGACAUGCAUCGAUUGUCUUGUUUGCUUCCAAAUCACCUUCGAUUGGACUCGGAACUCGACCAGGGUUGGCUUAGCUAUUAGUUGGUCGUGAGGCCGACGAACGCAGGCCGGACUUGGCUUCGAGCGUUCGUGGUCUGGCUAUCGAAACUACCGAAACUUUGACCUCAAAUCAGGUAGGACUACCCGCUGAACUUAA
Molecule: unclassified non-coding RNA, 413 nt
Filed under: uncultured Xerocomellus
Lineage: Eukaryota; Fungi; Basidiomycota; Agaricomycetes; Boletales; Boletaceae
Description: sequence contains ITS2
Rfam family: 5.8S ribosomal RNA (bases 1-52)
Source: RNAcentral